GAUGAACGCUGGCGGCGUGCCUAAUACAUGCAAGUCGAGCGAACGGACGAGAAGCUUGCGUCUCUGAUGUUAGCGCCGGACGGGUGAGGAACACGUGGAUAACCUACCUAUAAGACUGGGAUAACUUCGGGAAACCGGAGCUAAUACCGGAAAAUAUUUUGAACCGCAUGGUUCCAAAGUGAAAGACGGUCUUGCUGUCACUUAUAGAUGGAUCCGCGCUGCAUUCGCUAGUUGGUAAGGUAACGGCUUACCAAGGCAACGAUGCAUAGCCGACCUGAGGGGGUCGUCGGCCACACUGGAACUGAGACACGGUCCCGACUCCUACGCGAGGCCGCGGUACGGACUCCUCCGCAAUGGGCCAAAGCCUGACGGUGCACCGCCGCGUGAGUGCUGAAGGUCUUCUGCUCGUAAAGCUCUGUUAUUAGGGAAGAUCAAAUGUGUAAGUACCUGUGAACAUCUUGACGGUACCUAAUCAGUAAGCCCCGGCUAACUCCGUG
RNAcentral lists this ribosomal RNA (497 nucleotides) under uncultured bacterium. RNAcentral's name for it is "partial 16S ribosomal RNA". It matches the Rfam family "Bacterial small subunit ribosomal RNA", at positions 28 to 507 of the family's 1533-position model. The record is from RNAcentral.